RNAcentral lists this ribosomal RNA (208 nucleotides) under uncultured bacterium. RNAcentral's name for it is "partial 16S ribosomal RNA". It matches the Rfam family "Bacterial small subunit ribosomal RNA", at positions 568 to 774 of the family's 1533-position model. The record is from RNAcentral.
UGCGUAGGCGGCUUUGCAAGUCAGAUGUGAAAUCUAUGGGCUCAACCCCAUAAACUGCAUUUGAAACUGUAGAGCUUGAGUGAAGUAGAGGCAGGCGGAAUUCCCCGUGUAGCGGUGGAAUGCGUAGAUAUCGGGAGGAACACCAGUGGCGAAGGCGGCCUACUGGGCACCAACUGACGCUGAGGCUCGAAAGUGUGGGUAGCAAACA